This 424-nucleotide ribosomal RNA is filed under the name uncultured Azospira sp. Its description in RNAcentral is "bacterial SSU rRNA". It matches the Rfam family "Bacterial small subunit ribosomal RNA", at positions 971 to 1394 of the family's 1533-position model. Lineage: Bacteria; Pseudomonadati; Pseudomonadota; Betaproteobacteria; Rhodocyclales; Rhodocyclaceae. The record is from RNAcentral.
UUACCUACCCUUGACAUGCCAGGAACUUUCCAGAGAUGGAUUGGUGCCCGAAAGGGAGCCUGGACACAGGUGCUGCAUGGCUGUCGUCAGCUCGUGUCGUGAGAUGUUAGGUUAAGUCCCGCAACGAGCGCAAAAAAAAUAAUUAAUUGCCAUCAUUCAGUUGGGCACUUUAAUGAGACUGCCGGUGACAAACCGGAGGAAGGUGGGGAUGACGUCAAGUCCUCAUGGCCCUUAUGGGUAGGGCUUCACACGUCAUACAAUGGUCGGUACAGAGGGUUGCCAAGCCGCGAGGUGGAGCCAAUCCCAGAAAGCCGAUCGUAGUCCGGAUCGCAGUCUGCAACUCGACUGCGAGAAGUCGGACUCCUGACGUUUCGCGGAUCAGCAUGUCGCGGUGAAUACGUUCCCGGGUCUUGUACACACCGCC